AUGUGGAGUGUACAUGGUGAAUUGGAGAAGAAGCUACAGGACUCAAAUGCAACACCAAUGUCCCUUCCACUAGAGUUUUUGGAAGACAUCACAUGUGAUUUUUCCACAGAGUCGGUACUUGGCGAAGGCGGGUAUGUGAUAGUUUACAAGGGAGUUCUUCGGAGUGGGAAAAUCAUCGCUGUGAAGAAGCUGUUUGAAAUGCGUCUAAAAGAGGAGACAUUUCAUAAUGAGGUCAGUAAUCUUAUGGGGAUCAAGCACCAAAACGUAGUGCAGUUUAUAGGUUACUGUGCCGAAUCAAGAUGGGAAGCAAUAGAGACACCAAGUGGAAGUGGGAAGCAUGUUCUUGCCGAAAUUCCAAAGAGGUUGCUCUGCUUCGAGUACAUAUCCAACAAAAGCCUCGAGAAACAUAUUUCCGAUGAAUCUUUGGGGCUUGAGUGGAAUAUGAGAUACAAGAUAAUCAAGGGGAUUUGCAGUGGUAUGCAUUUCCUUCAUGAUGCAUGCCAUAUCGUUCAUCUUGACCUAAAGCCAGAAAAUAUAUUGAUAGACUCUACUAUGACACCAAAAAUCGCGGAUUUUGGUUUGUCAAGGAUCUUUGGAGAGCAAGAAUCACGAAUUGUCACUGAUAACCGUGCUGGAACAUGUGGAUAUAUGGCACCAGAAUACUUAAUCCGAGGUGUAGUCUCAAACAAAGCGGAUAUCUUCAGUGUUGGUGUAAUAGUCAUAGAGAUAAUUACAGGUCAUAGGGACUAUCCAUAUUUUCAGCAAGAUAAUCCUCACAGUACCGCAGCAUCACUCCAGCAGUUCACAGAAAAAGUGCUCCUAAGCUGGAGGAACAAAUUCAUAUCCACACCAAACUAUAAAUCAACAGAAAGAUCUAUCCGACAAGUAAGACAAUGUAUUUGCAUAGCCCUUGAAUGUGUGGACCCUGGCAUGGAGAAAAGACCCACUCCAAAGGAUAUACUCGAAAUGCUUAACGGAGUAGACAAGAUGGUGGCCAAUGAUGAGCUGCAGUCAGACAUGCACUGCAAGGACAUGCUGCAGGCUCUGAACACUACUGUGAGUAACGAUCCCACAUCCCAGAACCGGAGUAUCACUAACGACAUGUUAAACAAAGAGACAGAUAGUAAAUUGGUGGCUAAUGUGAAAUCGGUGGAGGGUUUGUCACUGACACCUUUACCAGAAUCAAACAAAAUCAGUGAGAUAGUGAAGGGGUGGGCAGAAAAGGCAUCCAGUAAGCCACAACCAACAAGCGACACAACCAUUGUGCAAGCAAUCCCAGCUUUAACACAGAUCAUAUCUAGGGAGAUACCUAAGAAGCGCAUGGUUUCACUAGACGUAAAUCUGACAGAGUCAUGGAUUGCAACAGGCCAUGAAGAUGGAUAUAUUGAUAUAUGUGAUUAUAUCAUGCAGAAGUCGAUCUGUUUUAUUAAAACCGAAGAACAUGGUUACUUCCCAGUUAAUACGAUUAAAUUUAUUGAACGAAAGCAAUGGUUUAUUGUUGGGCUAGGGCCUGGGAGUGGCAAAAUCUAUGUAUAUAACUAUAAACCCGAGGUGCAGAAAAUCACUAGUUUUCGUGUUAAGAGAUACUUCUUAGGUAUCAACUCACUGGCAGUUCAUCCAACCCAACCGUAUGUGUUGUCGUCAUGUAGUGGGUACAUACAGCUUUGGGACUGGGACAAGAACUGGGAGUGCAUAAAAACUUUUAAGAAACUAUCCUAUUUUGGGUUUGAACUCGAACUUGCAUUUAACCCGAAGGAUGCCAACAUAUUUGCUAGUGCUUCAGAAGAUAACACAGUAAAGCUUUGGAGUCUUGAUUAA
RNAcentral lists this ribosomal RNA (1818 nucleotides) under Triticum aestivum (bread wheat). Its description in RNAcentral is "partial small subunit ribosomal RNA". The record is from RNAcentral. Lineage: Eukaryota; Viridiplantae; Streptophyta; Magnoliopsida; Poales; Poaceae.